CUGGAGAACAAUAAGAAUUGUACCGAAGAAGUAAUCUUUCAGGUAAAAGGACAGAGGCAGACAA
This 64-nucleotide non-coding RNA is filed under the name Dorea longicatena. RNAcentral describes it as "Glycine sequence". It matches the Rfam family "Glycine riboswitch aptamer", at positions 11 to 94 of the family's 94-position model. Rfam says of the family: This family represents the bacterial glycine riboswitch. Glycine riboswitches usually consist of two metabolite-binding aptamers domains with similar structures in tandem. The aptamers cooperatively bind glycine to regulate the expression of downstream genes. The record is from RNAcentral. Lineage: Bacteria; Bacillati; Bacillota; Clostridia; Lachnospirales; Lachnospiraceae.